RNAcentral lists this microRNA (23 nucleotides) under Sarcophilus harrisii (Tasmanian devil). RNAcentral describes it as "Sha-Novel-14-P3_3p* (star (passenger))". The record is from RNAcentral. Lineage: Eukaryota; Metazoa; Chordata; Mammalia; Dasyuromorphia; Dasyuridae.
CACUUUCCAUCCCUGGGUACUGA